GUAAAGAUAAUUAUCAGCUGAAUUUUCUGGUCAUGCAUAAUUUCUAGUUUAAUAAUUUCUCUUACUCCUUUAUACCAAGCCUUCUAAUAUUAAUUCAAGAAAAAUAUACAUAUAGCUAAUUAAAAGAUCAAGUAGAAAAACAAGAUCAUUUCUCUUUCUGUAGAUCCAAACCAUGAGAGAAUUUACAAUGGCACGUAAUGCAAAGAAGAAAAAAGACAAACGCCAAACCAUGUAGGAGAAAGAGUAAGGAGUCAUAGUCUGUACAUAACAUCCACACAAGUUCACCGUAGUAAUAGUAAAGCAACCACAAUAUAAUUCCCGGCACUCACUGGUAUCAUGCUCAUAUGAAGAAAGAUCAAACAAAAUAUCAUUUACCAUGGUCGUGGAGAAGAGAGAAAUUACAAGAGAUCGUGAAGAAUUACAUCAACCCAGUACUCGAAUUUUCUUGUUCGGGAGAGGAAGAAAGAUGGAGGUAAGAUCAGAUGGAACUGGGUGGAAACCCUGCGGUGGGGGCCCGAAUUUCCUCUUCACCGGCCGAGGUUUCCUUGGGGCCGGUGGACACACCAAGGCUGGCUUGAAUACAUGCUCUUCCGACUUCGGUGUAACGCACUCCAGCUUCUCCUUGGCCGGCGACCCCGGCGCCUGGAGGUCCUCUACGGGCUUGGUAUGGACCCCCGUGGUCUGGAUUGGUGGAAGGGAUGGCAACUCAUGAUCCAAAACAAGCUCUAAGCCCAUCGUUCAACUCGACGACAGGAGGAGUGGGGAGACUAGAAUUGCAUUGGGAUUAUUGAAGACGUAGAUAACGAUGGUGGGGGUAUAAAGAAGCAGCGCUCACAAGGGCUCAAGGAGGGGAAGGGCAGGCGUGGAGACACAUGAGAUGGUGGUGAUGAUGGGCUUGGCAAGCGGAGAUGGGAAAAAAGGAAGAACCGAAUUAUAUGGAGUGGUAGUGCAAAGAAGUUAAAUAGUCACAGAGUGAGAGUGUGAGAGAGAGAGAGAGAGAGAGAGAGGAGCGCAAUGCAAAUGAUUGUGAGGAAUGAGGGAGGAAAGAAAGCUUCGGAAGGUACAGAGAGGAAAAGGUAAGGAGCAGAAAGAGUAAGGAAAUGGGAGUUAAGGCAGCCUUAACUCGGGGCUUGGCUCUAGCUGUGUCUGUGGCUUUAUUACCCCCCCACCGCAGCCCCCAAGUUGGGCCCCUGAGUGGUUAGGUGGGCAACAGGUUGAUA
This 1220-nucleotide long non-coding RNA is filed under the name Elaeis guineensis (African oil palm). RNAcentral's name for it is "long non-coding RNA (EGUI_LNC019202)". The record is from RNAcentral. Lineage: Eukaryota; Viridiplantae; Streptophyta; Magnoliopsida; Arecales; Arecaceae.